AACGCACAUUGCGCCCGCCAGUAUUCUGGCGGGCAUGCCUGUUCGAGCGUCAUUUCAACCCUCGGACCCCCGGCUUGCUGGGGGACCGGCGUUGGGGCUCGGGCGUCCCUCGCGGCGUCCGUCCCUGAAAUACAGUGGCGGUCGCGCUGUAAUCCUCUGCGUAGUACUACACCUCGCAGCCUGGAGAGCGGUGCGGCCACGCCGUAAAACCCCCUACUAUACAAGGUUGACCUCGGAUCAGGUAGGAAUACCCGCUGAACUUAA
RNAcentral lists this unclassified non-coding RNA (264 nucleotides) under uncultured fungus. RNAcentral describes it as "partial contains 5.8S ribosomal RNA, internal transcribed spacer 2, and large subunit ribosomal RNA". The stretch from base 1 to 52 matches the Rfam family "5.8S ribosomal RNA", at positions 103 to 154 of the family's 154-position model. The record is from RNAcentral. Lineage: Eukaryota; Fungi.